CACUAGCAAUUGAGCUGAAAAUGAAGCUCGGAAUAUGGAGGCAGCAGCUGCCCCAAUCCCGAUUCAGACCGUAUAAUCGGGUUCUAGACGGUGUAGAUGAUUGUUCGGUUCUAAUUAGUGGAUGCUUGGAAGAAAGUUGUCAUUGAAGUUUGGCUAUUAGUAAGAUGCAGCCGUGCAGACCCGACCCCGUCGACGUUCUGCAUCGUUGCAACUUGCAAGUGUGAGAAACAAAAUUGUUACGGUGCCGAUAGCUCUGUAGGGUUUAUUGAAUAUAUGCACUUCUUUAAAUAUUGUAAGCAAACUUUACUAAUUUCAAACAUUCUCUUAUUCAUGUA
Molecule: long non-coding RNA, 335 nt
Organism: Salvia splendens (bonfire salvia)
Lineage: Eukaryota; Viridiplantae; Streptophyta; Magnoliopsida; Lamiales; Lamiaceae
Exons: 2
Source: RefSeq, a predicted model, not a curated record